GGGGAAUUUUCCGCAAUGGGCGCAAGCCUGACGGAGCAACGCCGCGUGAGGGAGGAAGGCCUGUGGGUUGUAAACCUCUUUUCUCUGGGAAGAAGAUCUGACGGUACCAGAGGAAUAAGCAUCGGCUAACUCCGUGCCAGCAGCCGCGGUAAGACGGAGGAUGCAAGCGUUAUCCGGAAUUAUUGGGCGUAAAGCGUCCGUAGGCGGUCGAUUAAGUCUGCUGUUAAAGACUACAGCUCAACUGUGGGCAGGCAGUGGAAACUGAUUGACUAGAGUACGGUAGGGGUAGAGGGAAUUCCUAGUGUAGCGGUGAAAUGCGUAGAUAUUAGGAAGAACACCAGUGGCGAAGGCGCUCUACUGGGCCGUAACUGACGCUGAUG
RNAcentral lists this ribosomal RNA (380 nucleotides) under Phormidium sp. B2. RNAcentral's name for it is "bacterial SSU rRNA". It matches the Rfam family "Bacterial small subunit ribosomal RNA", at positions 356 to 751 of the family's 1533-position model. Lineage: Bacteria; Bacillati; Cyanobacteriota; Cyanophyceae; Oscillatoriales; Oscillatoriaceae. RNAcentral also lists the same sequence under 1 other name. The record is from RNAcentral.